Molecule: ribosomal RNA, 522 nt
Filed under: Triticum aestivum (bread wheat)
Lineage: Eukaryota; Viridiplantae; Streptophyta; Magnoliopsida; Poales; Poaceae
Description: partial small subunit ribosomal RNA
Source: RNAcentral
AUGGGCCACUGCGCCUUUGCUAGGCUAAACACAAAGCUGGGUCGGGUGGCCAAAGACCUAAAGAUCUGGAGCAAAUCGCUGUUUAGUGACGCGCGACUGCAGCUACACCUCGCCACUGAGAUAGUUCUAAGACUAGACAUAGCACAUGAGCGUAGGAGCCUCUCCGAUGAUGAGUUUCAUCUAAGGAAGGCUCUUAAGCUGCGGAUUUUAGGCCUGGCUGCAGUGGAGCGAGCUCGGAAGAGGCAGGCAUCACGUAUCACCUGGCUGCAGGCUGGCGAUGCGCCAACUGCUUUCUUCCAGGCGAAGAUCAACUCCAGAGUUCGCAAAAACUUCAUCCACACGCUGCAGGGGCCUGCUGGUAUAGUUACUACCCAGGAGGACAAGGAGACACUGAUCCACGAUCAUUUCCACUCCUUGUUAGGCUCGUCAGCGCCGCGGCGUGCCACUAUAAACUGGGCAACGCUCCAACUACCACAGAUCCAAGGCGGCGGCCUAGACAAUCCCUUCAUGGAGGAUGAAGUU